RNAcentral lists this RNase P RNA (373 nucleotides) under Smithella sp. RNAcentral describes it as "RNase P RNA component class A". It matches the Rfam family "Bacterial RNase P class A". Rfam says of the family: Ribonuclease P (RNase P) is a ubiquitous endoribonuclease, found in archaea, bacteria and eukarya as well as chloroplasts and mitochondria. Its best characterised activity is the generation of mature 5'-ends of tRNAs by cleaving the 5'-leader elements of precursor-tRNAs. Lineage: Bacteria; Pseudomonadati; Thermodesulfobacteriota; Syntrophia; Syntrophales; Smithellaceae. The record is from RNAcentral.
GGAGAAGAUCGGAUGAUCGCGGGCAGGCAUGACCUGCCGGAGGAAAGUCCGGGCUCCGCAGGGCAGGAUGGUCGCUAACGGCGACCGGGGGCGACCCCAGGGAAAGUGCCACAGAAAACAUACCGCCCGCCUCAGGCGGGUAAGGGUGAAAAGGCGAGGUAAGAGCUCACCGCUUUUCCGGUGACGGAAAAGGCAGGGUAAACCCCAUCCGGAGCAAGACCAAAUAGGGGAACGUUUGAGGGCGGCCCGCCUGAUGUUCCCGGGUAGUGUCGCUGGAGGCGCAGGGCAACCUGCGUCCCAGAUGAAUGAUCAUCGCCGCGUCAAAGGGUAACCGAAACGCGGAACAGAACCCGGCUUAUGAUCUUCUCCGCGC